UGGGGUGGGGGAGGGAGGGCAGGUUGUUCAUAGAUUGUCCUGUUUUAGGAAUAACAGUGCUUGCAACUAUCUAAGGCUACAGUUUAUCUGCACCCACAGCCUGACCCAGCCCGCAGCUGGUGCAGGAAGGCAGCCCCCGCCCCCGGCCGGACCCCUCCUCCCCGAGGGGCAUAUCCCUUUCCCGAGGUGGAUGUGUCAAUUUUUGCCACAGGGGCUGCGCAACCGGGCGGCCCACGGCGGGCAGGAGAUGGCGGCAGCCCCCUGGGCCCGCAGCAGCCGCUCUGCCCCUCCGCGGAGUCGGGACCAGGAGCGGCGGGCGGAGACGGGGCGCGCUGAGACGCUGGUGCAGCCCGGCUUGGUGGGAAGAAACGGUAGUUCGUCAUCUUACUCCCUGCUUGAUACUGUCUUAGACCCUUUCAACAGGGUCUGAAGUCUGAACCACACCAUUCAAGUGCAGAAUAUACAUUCCAAGACCGAAGUGCAAAACAGUUUUUCAAAUGGCUUGUGAAUAGAAAGUAUGGGGUGCAGCUCAGGUUAUCCCACUGUGAUGUGAUCCAGUCCUUCGAGGAAAUCAUCGAAGUUGAAGGUAGUGCUGCAAAAUGGAGCAUGGCAUAGCAUCAGGUAUUAAAGAGACUGAGGCAAACUAACCCUUCUCAAUGUAGAAUGAAACAUUUAGAGACUGUCAUCACUGUCAUGAGCCCACCAGAACAUGUUAUGGCUUUAAGAAAUCAGUUUCUUAAUGAGUAUCUAAGCAAAUGUAUUAAAGAUCAAAUUUUUACUGUGAGGGCAAAAAUGUUUGCACAUAUUUUAUAUACACUUAUAAUAUAUUUGUAUUUCCUGGGGGAGGUGAUAGUACCUUUUCCAUUUGAUGCCCUAGCAGUAUAUGCAAGUUCCAGUGCUGGAGAAGUGCCUUCUCAAGUCAUUGGGAUGAGAAGAUCACAAUGAGGCAUAGCGUGCUGAUACAGUGACUGCUAUGAAACUAUUCAAACCUUUCAGCUCCUCUUCCAGUGAAGAUGAUUCACUUCUGUGAUUUUACCAGGACUGUCACUAGUUCACCCAAGGGUUGAAUUGCUUUUCUGUUACAUUAGGUCCAGCUGUGCUGUCAAUUUGUUGCCUUAAGCUUCAGCCAAGGGUCCUGAUGUCCUAAUUGUUGCCAUUGUAGAAAUCCUGGGCUUUUGGCUGGGACGGACAUCCUUUGUGAGAAAACUGGGAGGAAGGAGAGAGGAUGGUUUUCCCCAAAGCCCUCUCCUCAUAGGCACUAUAGCCAUGGGCCAAUCUAAAGUGGGAGCCAUGGACUCAGUCCCUGCUGCAGAUCCCAAAAGUUGUUCACAUGCAUUGAAACAGUUCAAUCAACUGGCUGUUAAUAACAAUUAAAAAACAGCCUUGAGUCCUUGGUAAGUCCUUUAGAUUUCAACAUUUGUAGGGAUCCAGAAUAUUUAGACACAAAUUUCUCACUGACCAUAAACUCUGCAUAUAAAUCCUGGACUUAAAUCUCCUUGAGCUGGAGAUGUGAGAUAUCAGGCUUAAUCUCCCCGAGCCUUCACUGAACCAUAAAUAUGCUGACUACCAUAGCACACGGGAGCAUCACAGAAGAAUUGACUACAAAUUUGCUAAUACUUUUAAAGAGAGAUAAAGAGGUAACAAAUGUGCUAAUGAUUAUCAUUACUGUUUACCACCAUGACACUCACUGGCUGGGAAGGCAGGAAAUAAUGUUCAGAAUAUCUGAGGAAUAUUGCCUUGUUUGAAAAUAUCUCUGCUACUAAUGUGAUGACUGUCUAUGGAGUUGUGGUUGCUGGGAAUUCACACACUGAUUUCAUGGAGAGAUAAAAGAGUGGAGUUUAUAUGGAAUAAACCCCUUUUGAAUAAAACAAUCUGCAUAAAUGCUUUAAGAAAGCCUAUAAUUAUGAUAAAAAUGUUGCUCAAAGUUAAAAUUAUGAAGCAAUCAAAAUUUAUAAACAGUCUCUCAUCGACUUUUAAUCAUACUUUCUCAUAUACAAACUGUAGAAAACAUAUAGUAGCAAUAUAUAACAAUAUGCAUUUUAUUUUUGGUAAUUUAGGGUGCUAUGUCAUGCUCUUUAAUCAGACAAAGCUUGGCUUGUCAAGAUCUGCCGUAUUAUCCUUAAAUGUCAAAAAACACAUUUAGGCCUCCAAGUUAUAUAUACACUUAGCUGAGGUUUUAUCCUGCUGGCAGCUAAACACCUCUGGAGAGGUGGUGUGCCCUCUCUGGGCUAGAUCCGAAGCUUUCUUCUGUCAUAUUCCCACCAAGAACCUCUGGCUAGGGCCUCUACUCUGACUGCCUGCUCUGAAGGUGCUCACUCAGUCUAACACAGGAUCCUACUCACACCUCCCCUGAAAUUCUCUUGUAGACAUUGCUCUUCAUUUGUGAUUCACUAAGGAGAAUGCUUAAAUUAUAUGCAUCAUGUAGAACUUGGAUGGCAAGAGAUAUUCAAAACAAGGAAUAUUUGUAAUGGGAACCUUGCCAACUUGAAUGGUAGCCUACCAUGUCUAUAAGCUCCAUUGUUUCCUUUGAGCUGAACUAGCUGAACACAUUCAGGAUGCAUCCUGAUAGUAACAUGCCUCUCUUGGCAAGUAGUAAAAUUCACUGGUACUGUGUCCUUAAAAAUGUUAUCACAGACAGGUCAAAUUAAUGAAGUAUUUGCUUCAAACAAUACAUAUUUUUUUAAUGCAGUAUUACUAGAUUCUUUUCUGGAACAGAAUAGCAUGCAGAGUAUUCCAUCUGAACUCCUUAUGAAAAUGAGAUCUUCUAUUGAACUGACUGGCACAGCUCUUAUAGAUAGAUUGAAGGAUGGAGAAGCACCAUGCAUGCAGCUUGACGUACAUUCUCAGAUAGCAUUUGACUAUCAAGCAGUGGCAUUCUUGGAUGUGCUUGUUAUGCUCCUGCCCAUGCCCCAAAUCCAAGCAUGGUGCAACUUCCCUUUUCAGCCAAAAAAAGAGGACCAUUCUAAUUUUAGGCCUUUGUGGUUUUGUGAGAGAAAGGCGGAUUUUAUUUUUUCUUCUUUUUACAGCCCAGUUUUCUGACUCUUAGCCCUAUAAGGGGUUUGCCUGCUGAAGGAUGGGUAGAAGUUAUUUUCUGUGAUUAAUACAACACUUCACUUAAAAGACUUCUUUGCUAUGAAAUCUCUAUAUUUAGCAGUCUAUAAUCAUUAAAUGUAAACAUCAAGCUUCGCUUUGUGUCUGUAUGUGGCCUAAAAAUGUGGUUCUGUUUCUGACUGAGAGAGAUGAAUGUCAUGAGUGCUCUGUGUAGGAUGGAGAACACAAAUACCACAACAAAACCUAAACAAACCUAAAGCAUGAAACAAAACAUUUUGUACACGUACAUUAAAAUUAUAUUGAAAAUUGGGAGCACGAACUACCAAACUAGGCUUCUUUCUGUUUUACAAACUGCAAUGUCUGUUAAAAAAAAUUUAAAGCAUAAUUGCAAAUUGAAAUUUCCUCCCUAUUCUUACUUCGACAUUUGUGUUUUUCUCUUAACAUCUCCCACAUGUAAAUGCAGCAGCUUCCUAACCCUCUUGUUAUGUAUCACAUUCAAAUGUAACAGUUUAGCAAAUUCUCCAAUUGUGUUGGUGUUCCCUUUCAGACAUGGAAAGCAAUUUGAUGUGUCCUUUUAAUGAGCCAUUUUCAUGCAAGGAGGAAAACAGUGGUUGGGGAAGUUACUAAAGCUUUCUGCUCAUUGAUUUUAA
Pseudopipra pipra is the source of this 3701-nucleotide long non-coding RNA. RefSeq lists it as uncharacterized. The transcript is spliced from 2 exons. The record is from RefSeq and is a predicted model, not a curated record. Lineage: Eukaryota; Metazoa; Chordata; Aves; Passeriformes; Pipridae.